This 4605-nucleotide long non-coding RNA is filed under the name Homo sapiens (human). RNAcentral describes it as "HSALNT0068449". Lineage: Eukaryota; Metazoa; Chordata; Mammalia; Primates; Hominidae. The record is from RNAcentral.
GGACAGACGUGUUGAAAAAUGGACUAAAUGGGGCUGUGUGAGUUUCCCGGAGCUGCUAUAACAAAUAACCACAAUCUGCAUGGCUUCAAACAACUGAAAUUUACUACUCACUGUUCCAGAGUCCAGCAGUUUAAAAUCAAGGUGAUUGGCUGGGCACAGUGGCUCAGGCCUGUAAUCCCAGCACUUUGGGAGGCUGAGGCAGGCAGAUCACUUGAGGUCAGGAGUUCAAGACCAGCCUUGCCAACAUGAUGAAAUCCCAUCUCUACCAAAAAAUACAAAAAUUAGCUGGGCAUGGUGGCGAGCACCUGUAAUUCCAAAUACUCAGGAGGCUGAGGCACAAGUAUCACUUGAACCUGGAAGGCGGAGGUUGCAUUGAGCUGAGAUCACACCCCUGCACUCCAGCCUGGGCGACAGAGUGAGACUCCAUCUCAAAAUAAAUAAAUUAAUUAAUUAAAUAAAUUAAAUAAAAUCAAAGUGAUGGGCAGGCUCACUCCUCCAGGGGGCUCUGAGGGAGGAUUUGCCCAUCCUCUCUCCUGGCUUCUGGUGGUUCCCAGCCAUUCCUGGUGCUCCUUGGCCUGUAUGCACAUCACUCACCUCAGCAUCCAUCUUCUCAUGGCUUCCCCUCUGUGGGUCUUCUCCUCUUGUCCUCUGAGAAGGACACUUCUCAUUGGAUUGAGGGCCUACCUAGGUCAUCCAGGAAGUUCUUGUCUCAAGAUCCUUAACUCAAUUACAUCUGCAAAGGCCCUUUUUCCACAUAAGGUUACGUUCCUAGGUUGGGGGUAAAUGGAUCUUUUGGAGACCACCAUUCCACCCCCCUCAGGGGGCCAGGGUGGACAGGGGAGGAUCACUUAAGAGAUGCAUGGCAGUGGUGGCCUGGACUGGACAGGAGGAAGCAGAGUCAUGGGCAGGUUUGAGAGGUACCAGGAGGUGGAAUCCAAGCACUUCACCAGUGUUGACAUACACAGAAUUGAGGAAGAUGGAGAUGUUAAGGGUGUCUGUCAGGCAUUGGCUUAAGCAACUGGGUGGAUCAUGAUUUUUUAAAAAAUCUUUAUUUAUCCAAUUCUAUACCACAAAGCUUACCUGUCUCCCCAAACCCAAUUGCCCCAGUUCCUUGGGUUACCUCCAGGGCAAACCCAACUUCUUCAAACCAGGUCUGGUUCUCUACAGAACUCCAGGAAACAUGAGAAGCCCUUCAUGUGAUUGCUAAGUAAUUGCUUUUCAACUAUAAAAGUAAUUAAAAAAUGGCACCAAUUUCCCUAAGUGUAUAAUAUAAUUAAAUCCACUGGCUUGGAAAAUCAUUUGUGAUAAACCGAAACAGCAAAAGAUCAAGCCACUGGGAAUUAGGGAAACGUCUGACAUGAGGACAGAGAGCUCUCUGGGGCCUUUUCCUGGAGGGGCCUUGGUGGGCGUGGAAUGUGGCUGGGAAAGGCAGGGAGAGUGGAGGAUGGGAAAACCAGAUCCCCAGCUGGCUGGGACUGGAUAGGGAAGAGGCGGUGGGAAGCCACCUGCCAGGCCUUGGGCUGUGGGAUGGAGCUCAGGGCCCAGGCCAGGCGGGGUAGAAGUGUUGCCGGUGAGGGUCUUGACUGUAAGUUGCCCAGGUUCUUGGCGUUUUGAACAAAGAAUUGGACAAAAGCCCAGCAAAGCAAAGAAAGAAUGAAGCAACGAAAGAACCAAAGCAGGGAUUUAUUGAAAACAAAAGUACCCUCCACAGUGUGGGAGGGGCCCAACCAGCGGCUCAAGAGCCCAGAUACAGAAUCUUCUCAGAUCCAAAUACCCCCUACAGGUUUCCUAUUGGCCCCCUCAUGUAAAUGAAGUGGUGGCCCGCAAUCAGUGUGAUUGACUGCAGAAAACAACCAAUCAGAGGCUGAAGUGAAGUUACAAAAGUCACACUCCUCUGCAAACACCUGAUUGGCUGCAAAAAGCAACCAAUCAAAGGUUAAGAUGAAGUUACAAAGUUCCACUUCUAUGCAAAGGAAGACUCCGCUCUCAAUCAGUCUGAUUGGUUGCGGACAGCCAAUUUCCCAUCUGCCUGGAGGAAAAGGGAUUUGCAAAAGGAGUAGCCUCUGGUCCUUUUGUUACUUAGGCGUGGAAAGUUAGGGUUUUCUUUUGAGACGGAGUUUUGCUCUUGUCACCCAGGCUGGAGUGCAAUGGCAGGACCUCGGCUCACAGAAACCUCCGACUCCUGGGUUCAAGCUGUUCUCCUGCCUCAGCCUCCCAAGUAGCUGGGAUUACAGGCACCCACCACCAUGCCCAGCUAAUUUUUGUAUUUUUAGUAGAGACGGGGUUUCGCCAUGUUGGCCAGGCUAGUCUGGAACUCCUGACCUCAGGUGACCCACCCUCUUCGGCCUCCCAAAGUGCUGGGAUUACAGGCGUGAGCCACCACGCCUGGCCCGGGUUUUUCUUUCAAUUUAGUUCUAGGAAGUCGGCCUGAAAUUACCUUAGGUUUCCUGCCUCCAGACCCUAUUCUCUUGUCUCAGAAGCACUACCCCAGGAGGUCAAAGGCAGCUCAGACUCAGUCAAAAAGGCAGCUAAGGAAGCAGGAUGGACGGUGGGGCACAAGGAAUGAACAGAAUUGGUUGAAAUCAGUGUCAAGUUGGGCUGCGAAAUUCCGGACAGUUCAGGCAAGCCGUUCAAGACUAAGAUUCGGCCAAAAGGCAACAUUGGGAUGAAUUCACUCAACGGACAUUUGCUUAACUGUAGGAGAAGAGGGAAAAGGGGAAAUCAAAGACAUCUUUGAAGUGCCAAGCCAGGAAAGCUUAAAGUGCACUCAUUCCAAAAAAUUCAUCGAGUACCUCUUAGGGAAGCAGGGAAGAUGCCCAGGAAGGUUCCUUCUUGCUAGAAGCUUUGCAAAGGCCGCUGGCCACACCCACAACUGCUGGCUGAGAGGCCUGGUGGGCUCACAACUCAGGAAGACCCCACCCACCUGCCCGCCCCCACGAACAGCCCAGGAGCAGGACUGAGCUCAGCACAGUGGAGCUGAUUUACCUGCUGCAGCCUUUCUCCUCUGCCAGAGGUCUUCUGGGGCCACCAGAACCUGGCCAUGCUCACAGAGUGUCCAGCCCUCACUGAGCACAGGCCCUAGCAUGGACCAUGGGAAAAGAGAACUCAAAUAGAAAACUUGGGGUGAAACAUGCAUCUUGUAACGAGGAAGCAACCGUGUUAAUGGGUGCCAUGUACUGCAGAUGAUGGAACAGAAAGACACAGGGAGCCCGAGCCUCUGGGAGCACCACUGAGCUGCUAUGGCAGCCAGGUCUUCCCAUUUCUAGACUUCCUGUUAUAUGAAGAAACAAAAAUUUAGUUAAGGUCCUCCAGUAAUAUUUCUGUUGCAUGCAGUCAACCAUAGUCCCUAAUUCAGUGCACAAUGCCCAAGGUGCACAAAGGAGAAAGGAUAAAAGGACUUCUUAGGAACAUGAUCUUUGAGUUGAUCUUGACAAAUGAAUAGAGUCUAAGAUUUCCCAUGGGCGAAGGCACAGAGGGGCAGCCUCUUAUUCUCCCCGCCUGCCAGGGCUUCGAUACCUGAAUGUGCAGUCAUCGUGUGACACCCACCUUCCAGAACCUCUUACUUUUUCUUGGGCACCUGAAACUAAGAAUCUGGUCUUUGACCAACUAAAUCAAUCAUCACCUUCUCCCAUUCAACAUUCCAACCCCCAGGCUGGGCGCGGUGGGUCACGCCUGUAAUCCCAGCACUUUGGGAGGCCGAGGCGGGCAGAUCACCUGAGGUCAGGGGUUCAAGACCAGCCUGGUCAACAUGAUGAAACCCCAUUUCUACUAAAAAUACAAAAAAAUUAGCCAGGCGUGGUGUUAGGUGCCUGUAAUCCCAGCUACUCAAGAAGCUGAGGCAGGAGAAUCGCUUGAACGCAGAAGGUGGAGUUUGCAGUGAGCUGAGCCUGUGCCACUGCACUCCAGCCUGGGCAACAGAGUGGUAUAAGGAAGUGGGGCCUUUGGGGAAUUAUUAGCUCAUGAGGGUGGUGCUUUCAUGAGGAGGAUCAGUGCCCUUAUAAAAAAGACACUCCAGAGAGCUCCCUUGCCCCUUCUGCCAUGUGAGAACACAGUGAGAAGGUGCCAUCUAUAAACCAGGAAGUGAGCCCUCACCAGACACCAAAUCUUCCAGCACCUUGAUCUUGGACUUCCCAGCCUCCAGAACUGUGUGAAAUAAAUUUCUAUUGUUUAUAAGCCAUCCACUCUACAGUAUUUUUAUUAUAGCAGCCCACAUGGACUAAGACAGGAACCUUCUAGGAGCCUGGCUCUGGGCUCUGUGCCUCACAUUUAUCUCAUUUCACUCUUGCAACCACCCUGAGAUAAGGACAUUUGUCCCCACUUUGCAGGGGCAGAAGGAACUGAGGUGCAAAGAAAUUAGCAACCCAGCCAAGGUCACACAGCUAGUAAGUAAGGUAGGUUGGUGUGGAAUUCAGACCUGCCUGUGUACCUUCAAAGUAUGCUUGCACUCUAGUUCCCCAUUCUGCUAUCAGGAGCCUUGAAUUCAACAUCCAACCCAAACACCACCACCAUGUGUGGCUUAGAUAAAUUAAUUUCACCUCCUUGAGCCUCAGUUUGUCCAUGUCUAAGUUGAGAGAGUUCUGGGGGCUAAAUAGGAGGUCUCAAAGG